This is a long non-coding RNA of Quercus lobata, 990 nucleotides long. RefSeq lists it as uncharacterized. The record is from RefSeq and is a predicted model, not a curated record. Lineage: Eukaryota; Viridiplantae; Streptophyta; Magnoliopsida; Fagales; Fagaceae. The transcript has 3 exons.
AAAAAAAAAAAAAUCCAGGUCAACACAAAAUUAAACGCAAAUAAAUCCAAAAUAAAACCCCUCAUAAUCACAUUACACCAAAACAUCACACGCUGAUCAAUUUUUUUCUACUUUCACACCACACGGCCACACUUUCAGCUCAAACUUUAUCUCUCUAAGGUCUUGGGAUCUUGGUUUGAUGGGUUUGAUAUGGGUUAGAAAGAGAGAGGCUGAGUUGGUUUAAUCCGGGUUAGAGGGAGAUGUUGAGAUCGGUUGCUGUCACGGCAUGGCUGUCGGCGACAUGUGGGUUCAAGAUCAACCAAAUGGGGACUGAUUUAAGAACUGUGGUGGUCGGGUUCUGGGUUUCAAAGUGGUUUUGGCGAUUGAAAAAGUGUGGGUUUUUAUUUGGGUUCCUUCAAAAUACCGAUCUGGUUUUUAUUUUCCUGCUCAAUCCAGCUCUUUGUGGGGUGUCAAUGGUGGAUCUGAAAUCAACAUUUCUGAAGGUAUACUCGGUUCUGUAAUCAGAGCUCCUUGAAGACUCUGCAUUUGAGUGGACAGCUGAUUCUCGUCAAUGGAUCGAGCUGGAAGCUGUAAGUUCAGAUGCCAUUCCUUACAUGUUAUCCACAUUUUUUGCUUGAAAAUAAGAAACCCAAAAAUCAAUCAAUGAGAAUGACUGUGUUUUGAAUGGCUAGUACGAGAGAUUCGGGUUAAUUGAUAUUGUUAAAAGAGUCUUGGAAAACAUUGAGAUGGUAAAUGGUAAUAUUCAUGUACCAAGAAUUAAGAAUUGUAGAUCUGAUGUUAAUUUUCUGGGUUUUAAAUUUUCCGGGUUUGUGUUCUUGCUCAAAUGUUUAAUGUGUUCAUGUUUAAUUUAUCAAUUUUAUCUGGGUUUGUCAAGAUUGUUGGCAUGAAUUCUAAUGCGUUCAUGUUUAAUCUGAUGUGGAUCUGAAGUUUAAUUUUGUGUUCUUAUUUUCUGGGUUUGUGAUUUUUGGUUUUUAAUUUUGUGUUCUUAAG